UAGGGAAUCUUCGGCAAUGGACGAAAGUCUGACCGAGCAACGCCGCGUGAGUGAAGAAGGUUUUCGGAUCGUUAAACUCUGUUGUUAGAGAAGAACAAGGACGUUAGUAACUGAACGUCCCCUGACGGUAUCUAACCAGAAAUCCACGUCUAAUUACUUUCUAGCAGCCGCGGUAAUACGUAGGUGGCAAUCGUUGUCCGGAUAUAUUGGGCGUAAAGCGUGCGCAGGCGGUUUCUUAAGUCUGAUAUGAAAGCCCGCGGCUCAACCGGGGAGGGUAAUUGGAAACUUGGCGAGUUGAGUGCAGAGGAGGAAAGUGGAAUUCCAUGUGUAGCGAAGAAAUGCGUUGAUAUAUGGAGGAACACCGGUGACGAAAGCGGCUCUCUAGACUGUUACUGACGCUGAGGCUCGAAAGCGUGGGGAGCAAACAGG
This 429-nucleotide ribosomal RNA is filed under the name Gemmatimonadota bacterium. Its description in RNAcentral is "Gemmatimonadetes bacterium partial 16S ribosomal RNA". It matches the Rfam family "Bacterial small subunit ribosomal RNA", at positions 355 to 776 of the family's 1533-position model. The record is from RNAcentral. Lineage: Bacteria; Pseudomonadati; Gemmatimonadota.